UGCGCAGAUCGAUUCCUAGGAGCUCUUCAUCGCCAGCAUGAGUGACCAAGGAGAGAAGACUUGCCCACUAUGUGCUGAAGAGAUGGAUCUCACUGAUCAGCAAUUGAAGCCUUGCAAAUGUGGCUAUCAGAUUUGUGUUUGGUGCUGGCAUCACAUAGUAGACAUGGCAGAGAAAGAUCAGAUAGAAGGGCGUUGUCCUGCUUGUCGCACUCCAUAUGACAAAGAAAAGAUUGUAGGGAUGACUGUUGACUG
Brassica oleracea var. oleracea is the source of this 252-nucleotide long non-coding RNA. RefSeq lists it as uncharacterized. The record is from RefSeq and is a predicted model, not a curated record. NCBI's taxonomy places the organism in Eukaryota, Viridiplantae, Streptophyta, Magnoliopsida, Brassicales, Brassicaceae. The transcript is spliced from 3 exons.